Molecule: unclassified non-coding RNA, 377 nt
Filed under: uncultured fungus
Lineage: Eukaryota; Fungi
Description: sequence contains ITS1
Source: RNAcentral
UUUACGCAUCUUUGCGUGUUUUGUCCUUGCAGGCGCGUGUCCUGUCAGACGGCGGUCCGUCGGGGUGCGUUUCGGUGGGACCUCCCCCGGGAAACUCCCAGGUGGCCGCCCCCAUAACCCCGUGGCCGUGGCCGGGGGGGCAGGGACGGCGUGGCCAGGGCAGGCUGGCUGCUGCCCCGGGGAAGCAACGCGGAUUGGUACGCGGAUGGGUUUGGUUGGAAGCGGCCCCGCCCGCCGCCGGUGGGAACUCAUUGGCCAGGCCUCAAAAGGGCGGUACUGGCCCCAGCCGGCGUGGGUCGGGUGUCCCCGUUCUGCCGCCGACGCCUUUUCGCCAGCGGGCUUCGAUAAUGAUCCUUCCGCAGGUUCACCUACGGAAA